AGUAACGCGUGAGGAACCUGCCUCAAAGAGGGGGACAACAGUUGGAAACGACUGCUAAUACCGCAUAAGCCCACAGCUCGGCAUCGAGCAGAGGGAAAAGGAGUGAUCCGCUUUGAGAUGGCCUCGCGUCCGAUUAGCUAGUUGGUGAGGUAAUGGCCCACCAAGGCGACGAUCGGUAGCCGGACUGAGAGGUUGAAGGCCACAUUGGGACUGAGACACGGUCCAA
Molecule: ribosomal RNA, 226 nt
Filed under: uncultured bacterium
Lineage: Bacteria
Description: partial 16S ribosomal RNA
Rfam family: Bacterial small subunit ribosomal RNA
Source: RNAcentral